RNAcentral lists this long non-coding RNA (835 nucleotides) under Phoenix dactylifera (date palm). Its description in RNAcentral is "long non-coding RNA (PDAC_LNC001277)". Lineage: Eukaryota; Viridiplantae; Streptophyta; Magnoliopsida; Arecales; Arecaceae. The record is from RNAcentral.
UGAGAUAUUAAGUCAUUCUUUAUUAUAUUAUGUUCCCGUUGAGGUAUCCAGAGAAGCAAUGGCUCAAUUGCUUUAUACUCCUUUGAGUCAACCAUGCGGAUCUAGCAUGAAGUAUGUCUUAUAUUGCUCGGGCCUUCUCUGGAAAAAAUAUAAAUUUUUUAUUAAAUUUUGUUUGAUUAUUAUGGUAGGUAGAGUUGGUAAUCAGGUUGGAUACAGAUCACAUCAGAGCAAAUAACUGAUAAAUUUGAGUAACUAUAUAAAGUAUUUCAGCUACACUAUCUUUCUUAUUUUGACAAAAUUAUUUUCAACACUGUAUGCACCAUAUGGCCAUAUAUGCAGUCAAUCACAGCCACUUAUUUCUAUCGGUCUUACUCGUCAAAUGCUCAUCUUAAUGUACUACUGUAGAAAUGAGGCGUUGCGAUUAUCCGUGUGCAUGUGGUAUGGUGCAUGUAGUGUAAGGAAUAAUUUUUCUCAACUUUGUGAUGUGCAAUAUGUGUAAAUCCCUUUGUAUUUUAAUGGAGGCCAUGCAAGCAUAAGCAGAAUGGUACAAAAAUCCCAAAGAGUCUCAUGUGGCAUCUAAUGCCUUGAACAUGCAAGGUCACCGAUUACACGGCUAAACAAACGGCUUCCAUGCCAAUUCCUUUUCAGUACUCUUCCCCUUCCAUACAAAUUCAAGUAGCUCCGCUGGAAUACAGCUUUUCACGUGCAGGCAAUAAAAUUAGGUUUAAGUUGCAAAAGCAUCAUAAACCCAACUACAAGAUUGCUUGGCUAAAAGCAUGAAGAGUGACCACCAAACAGAUAUUACUAUUUAUCUAUCUACACACACACACACACA